UACGGAGGGUGCAAGCGUUGCUCGGAAUUAUUGGGCGUAAAGGGUCGGUAGGUGGUCCUAUUUGUCUGAGGUGAAAGCCUUGAGCUUAACUCGAGAAGUGCCUCAGAAACGGUGAGACUAGAGUCCUGGAGAGGGUCGUGGAAUUCCCGGUGUAGCGGUGAAAUGCGUAGAGAUCGGGAGGAACACCAGAGGCGAAAGCGGCGACCUGGACAGGUACUGACACUCAACUACGAAAGCGUGGGGAGCAAACAGG
RNAcentral lists this ribosomal RNA (253 nucleotides) under uncultured bacterium. RNAcentral describes it as "partial 16S ribosomal RNA". It matches the Rfam family "Bacterial small subunit ribosomal RNA", at positions 524 to 776 of the family's 1533-position model. The record is from RNAcentral.